GUCCGCAGUUGCCUCUGUAACUUGCACUGAUAUCGCUUCCAAAAGCCAGAAGCCUAGAGUCGGAAAGAAUGGCACCGAAAAAGAAGCAGCAGAAGCAUAACAACAAAGCGACCUCAACUUCUUCUUCUAAAUCUAAACCCCAGUCAUCGUCAUCGUCCUCUGGUCCAAGGCUCCAUAUUUCAGCGGAAAACGAGAACCGUCUGCGGCGGCUCUUACUAAACUCAAACCGCUCCACCCAGCCCGCCUCAGCGGCAGCGGUCCAAGAGAAUCUCUCAAGGACCCAAAAGGCCAAGAGACUCAAAAAUGUCUACGAGAAGCUCUCAUGUGAAGGUUUCUCUAAUGAUCAAAUUGAACUCGCCCUCACUUCUCUCAAGGAUAAUGCUACAUUUGAGUCUGCUUUGGAUUGGUUAUGCUUGAAUUUACCGGGAAAUGAGCUUCCUUUGAAGUUUUCCAGUGGAAUUUCUCUGCAUACUAACCAAGGUUCUGUUAGUGUUGUAUCAACUGCACGUGGUGAUCAGACUCCUUCAGUUAAUCCUACCAAGACUGAGGAAGAUGUGCAGCCAGUUUCUGUUAGAAUUAAGGGAAGGUGGGAUGAUGAUGACACUUUGGAUUCUCGCCAACCAUCUCAAGCAGAUUGGAUUAGGCAAUAUAUGGAACAACAGGAAGAGGAUGAAUCUCAAACUUGGGAAGAUUAUGCAAUUGAUGGAAGUUUUUCUAACAAGGAUCCUGUACCGCGGUCUUACGACAUUAUUGCUAAAGAGUACUAUGCAGCACGAAUAGAAGCUACAAAAGCCAAAGAAAAAGGGGACAAACAAAGUCAGGAGCAAGCAGGGGAUAUUAUCCGUAAACUCAAACAAGAAUUGUCUUCUCUAGGAUUAUCAGAUGAAAUAUUGGCACAAGAGUUUAGCCACGAACGUGGUUCUGGUUCUGGGUCUGAGGGCGUAUUUGCAGGUUCUAUGCCUCAUGAACAACUUCGGGCGAAAACAUCAUCUAAUACUGAAGGUGGCUCAACCUUUGUUGUUUCCUCCAAGGAAUUACCAGUAAAUGCCCUUGAGAUGGAGAGUUCAAGUUCUAGGGAGUUUCCAGAUAAACCUGUUCCGUCUUGUGAACCUGCUCAGGGAACCACUGUCAUAGAAGAUGAGGCUGGAGACAUGGAGCUCGGGGAUUUCUUCUUUGAAGAUGCUGCAUCUAAUGAAUCUUUGCCACCUGAAGUAUUGGAAUUACAAAAGAAGGAAAAAAUGAGGGAAUUAUCUAGUGGGAAGAAUUUAGAGAAACUAGAUGGCAUCUGGAAGAAGCACUAAAUGAAGUGGCAUGAAUGAAAGGGAUCCCCGUAGUUGACCCGAACUACUUUGGAAUUGGGGUUUAGUUGAGUUGAGUUUCUCCCAUGGGGGACCCACAGAAGAUUCCUAAGGCUGUUCUUCACCAAUUAUGUCAAAAAUCAGGGUGGGAAGCUCCAAAUUUCAAUAAGAUUCUUGAAAGGAAAAAGGGUUUCUCAUAUUCCGUUAGCAUAUUACGCAAAGCUACUGGAAGGGGCAAGAGCAGAAAAGCUGGAGGGUUGAUCACACUUCAGCUUCCUGACCAGGAUGAAACAUAUGAAUCUGCUGAGGAUGCUCAGAAUAGAGUUGCAGCAUUUGCUGUUCAUCAACUGUUUCCUGAUAUCCCCAUUCACCUAAUAGUCACCGAUCCUUAUGCUUCUCUUAUUUUGCAGUGGAAAGAAGGGGAAUCAUCAAUUAAGGCAGAAAGCACAUUAGAGGACCGCAGGACUGGUUUUGUGGAUUGGUUACUGAGUGCAGAUGGAUCAACCGAGACUGAUGUUGCUACCAGUAGGCUUUCAGAAACAUUACAAAAAUCUCAUGUUAAAGAAAUUAACAAUUCAAGAGAUGCUGGUGCUGAUCCAGCAGCAGGAGGAGAAAACUAUACCAGGAAUGUGGAAAGUUCUCAUUUGAGACAGGAGCAAGAGAAGAAAAAGAAAAUGCAGAAAUACAAGGAAAUGUUGAAAACUAGAACUGCUCUUCCAAUUGCUGGAUUGAAGGUUGAUAUUUUGCAAAUGCUAAAGGAGAACAAUUUUCUUGUUGUGUGUGGGGAAACAGGCUCUGGAAAGACUACUCAGGUUCCACAAUUUAUAUUGGAUGACAUGAUUGAAUCAGGACGUGGUGGACAGUGUAACAUUAUAUGUACACAACCGAGGAGAAUAGCGGCUAUUUCUGUGGCUGAAAGAGUUGCUGAUGAGAGAUGUGAACCUUCACCUGGUUCAAAUGGCUCUUUGGUUGGUUAUCAAGUUCGUCUUGAUAGUGCAAGGAGUGAGAAAACGAAGCUUCUCUUUUGUACAACUGGCAUACUUUUGAGACGGCUAGCGGGGGAUAGAAACUUGACUGGUGUUACUCAUGUCAUAGUUGAUGAGGUUCAUGAACGGUCUAUUUUGGUGAGUGAAAUUUAAUGUAGCCUAAGGUAUUUUAGUUUGUUGAUCCUUAGAUUUUGAAGACUUGUUUCUUUCAUUUUUUUCCUUUUGCUUUCUUGCUCAGUGUACUGUCUGUGUAGUAGGUAAUGUGUGCCUCCUUGUAGUACUCAGAAAGCAGUAAAGUAAGGGCGGUUAUUGAUAAGAUAUUAGUGGAUUUCAUGAGGAUAAAUUAAUGGAGUUAAUUUUUCCCCUGAUAAUAAAGCACAUAUGCAGUGUCUUUCGGUGAGUUAAUAAAUGUAUAAUGGAUGCUUUUCAAUGCAGAGCUUCUGUUUUGCUUUUUAUUUGUUGCUUGGGGGAAUGUUUCUAGCAGGUAGGCUCUAGAAACUAAGAUUCAGUCUUGUCACUGUAUACUAGAAUGCAUGUGAUGUCUUGAUUUACCUCUCAAUAGAAGCGCUUGUAAGGCAGCCAGAUCACCUCCAGAUCAGUUGAUUUUUGUGUAAAAUGGAUACUGUUAUGUACUUAUCUGUUUGGUUGAUAACUUCCAUUACAGGCAUCAUAUUAUGAAAAAAAUUUCUAUGCUGCUGCUGGGAUUCUUAAUUUCCUAUCAAGGUUAGGAGUUAUGCUGUAGGAAAUGCAUGGCCCUGAUUGGCAAGAAUGGAAGACCAAAAAGUUUUCUCCUACCUUUCCUUGAUAGUUAACAUGCCCAAUUAUGCUAGUGAUAUUCGUGCAACAUGUUUGCUGUGUAUCUCAUAUGCCUGUGUGUCUAUACAUAUCAUAGUGGCUGAUGGUUUGACAAUUUCAAAUGGAAGCAACAUUCAUAUCAAAAAAGAGAAUUCAAGGUGCAAUAUUUCAUUAUGAUUCAUUUCACUUGGAUAGACUCACAGCUUAGUCUUUUAAAUUAUUUUAGAGCAUUUAAAGCAUGACCUAAUUGAUUUUGGUGUUUUUGGUUUUUGCUACUGAGUUGGCCCUUUUCAUUAUUAUACUUGCCUUUUGACUUCCUGAGGAAAAGGGACAUGGUUUCACAUUUGAUGUACUUGGCAAGAUUUCAUUUUAUACAGAAAAAAAACAGAGGUUGACUUAAACAAAAUUAUCAUAUUUCUUGCUGUAACAGGGUGAUUUUCUACUUAUUGUUUUGAAGAAUCUGAUUGAGAAGCAAUCUGAUCAUGGCACACCAAAGCUGAAAGUUAUUCUUAUGUCUGCAACAGUUGAUUCAACUUUAUUUUCAAGUUACUUUGGACACUGUCCUGUUCUUACUGCACAAGGACGUACACAUCCCGUGACAACUUACUUUCUUGAGGAUAUAUAUGAAAGUAUCAACUAUCACUUGGCUUCAGAUUCUCCGGCUGCAUUAAGAUAUCAAACAUCGACAGUUGAUAAGAGUGGUCCUGUGAAUAACCGUAGAGGAAAAAAGAAUCUUGUAUUAUCUGGUUGGGGGGAUGAUUCUCUGCUCUCAGAAGACUAUGUUAAUCCCCAUUAUGUUUUAAGCAGUUAUCAUUCUUAUGGUGAGCAAACACAACAGAAUUUGAAAAGAUUGAAUGAAGAUGUCAUUGAUUAUGAUCUACUGGAAGACUUGAUAUGCCAUGUUGAUGAAACAUUUGAUGAAGGUGCCAUACUGGUCUUUUUGCCUGGAGUGUCAGAAAUUUAUAUGUUACUUGAUAGGUUGGCAGCGUCUUAUCGAUUUGGUGGAGCAUCAGCUGAUUGGAUUCUCCCUUUGCAUUCAUCUAUAGCAUCAAUAGAUCAGAAAAAAGUGUUUUUAUGGCCUCCUGAAAACAUACGAAAGGUUAUUAUAGCAACAAAUAUUGCAGAGACAAGUAUAACAAUAGAUGAUGUAGUUUAUGUGAUUGACUGUGGAAAGCAUAAGGAAAAUCGUUACAAUCCUCAGAAGAAAUUGACAAGCAUGGUUGAAGAUUGGAUAUCUCAAGCAAAUGCGAGGCAGCGCCGUGGAAGAGCUGGACGUGUUAAACCUGGAACCUGCUUUUGUUUGUACACGUGUCACAGAUAUGAGAAAGUUAUGCGUCCUUAUCAGGUUCCUGAGAUGCUUCGGUUGCCUUUAGUGGAGUUAUGCUUGCAAAUUAAGAUACUUUGUCUGGGUCAUAUAAAGCCAUUUUUAUCAAAGGCUUUGGAACCUCCCAAGGAUGAGGCAAUGACCUCUGCAAUUUCAUUGUUAUAUGAGGUUGGAGCUUUAGAAGGUGACGAGGAAUUGACACCUCUUGGGCAUCAUUUAGCAAAACUUCCUGUUGAUUUAUUGAUCGGAAAGAUGAUGCUGUAUGGUGCAAUAUUUGGUUGCUUAUCACCUAUUCUAUCGAUUUCGGCAUUUCUUAGCUAUAAAUCACCUUUUGUCUACCCGAAAGAUGAGAGGCAAAAUGUUGAAAGAGCAAAGCUUGCAUUGUUGACUGAUAAGCUAGAUGGCUCAAAUGAUUCAAAUGACAGUGACAGGCAAUCUGAUCACAUUGUAAUGAUGGUUGCAUAUAAGAAGUGGGAGAAAAUUUUGAAUGAGAAGGGAGUUAAAGCUGCACAACAAUUUUGCAGUUCUUAUUUUUUAAGCAGUUCAGUCAUGUACAUGAUAAGGUUUAGUUUCUCUUCUUUGUUUUUCUUGUAUCCAUUGCUUGUUAUGUUAAUGCUUUUAUUCUUUUUAUGCUUUUUGCCUUUCAUUUAGCGUUGAGCUAUGUUGGUACUUACAAAACCUUUAUUUGGUAAUAUUACAUCUAAAAAACUAGAAAUUUGUAUUUGAUAAUCUCUCUGUUGGAUAUGAUAACAUAUGGUUCUAUCAAUACAAUGAAUCUUAGGUCUAAUUUUCAUGGUCUCUGCGAGUUCUUGUAAAUUGUAUAGUUCUAUAAAUUAUACCUAAUAUAGGAAUCCUAGUGUGAGUCUAAUAUCAGAGUGAUUCAAUUUCCAUCAAGAUUUCAGCAUGUUUUAUUGCAAAGUCAGAUUCUUAAUGUCUUGGAAUUAGGAUCGGUAACAAAUUCUUCUCAGUCUAUGUUGAGGCCAGGUGGAAGAAUAACUUUCCCUGUACCAUAUGGUUAUUUAUUAUGUACAUAAAUGUGCCUUAUAAUUUUUUUUCUUCAUUUUAUAUAGAGCAUUUUUUUUAUUCCCUUUUCUUUUUCCCUUUUUUUGAGCAAUCCUUUUCUUUCUUUCUUUCUUAAUUCAUAUAGAAAAGCAGUUGUAUUUGAUAUAUGUCUAAAUUUUAGAGAUAUGAGGAUACAAUUUGGAACGCUGCUAGCAGACAUUGGGUUUAUUAAUCUUCCAAAAAAUUAUCAGGUACUGUGCUCAUGCUUUUUUAUGCAGGUAUGAAUGCAUGUAUUUUGUGUCACUACAUGUACCUGAAUUCUAAGAAAUACUUUACUAUGAUUUUUUCAUUCUGCUUUGCCUUGAAUAGUUCUAAAAUGAGUCUUUUAUUGCCAUUUCCUUUAUACAUUACCUUUUUUUUGAAUAAUCUUUGUGUCCAGAAAUGUAGCUAUCCAAAAUUUUAACAACAGCUAGUUUCUUUGCCCAGAUUAUAGGAAGAAACAAAGACAAUCUCGGUGGUUGGUUGUCAGACAAAUCACAGCCAUUCAACAUGUAUUCACAUCAUUCCUCAAUUGUGAAGGCUAUUUUAUGUGCAGGAUUAUACCCAAAUGUAGCUGCCACUGAACAAGGCAUUACCACAACAGCUAUCAACAGCCUUAAACAGUCCAGUAGUUCUGCAAUAAAGGUUCAUCCAGUCUGGUAUGAUGGAAGAAGAGAGGUUCACAUACACCCUUCUUCAAUCAACAGUAAUUUAAGAGCAUUUCAGCACCCAUUUCUUGUCUUCCUUGAAAAGGUUGAGACCAACAAAGUCUUUCUGCGGGAUACUACUAUCAUUUCUCCCUUCUCUAUCUUGCUGUUUGGUGGCAUCAUUAACGUUCAACAUCAGACAGGGCUUGUCACCAUAGAUGGAUGGCUAAAGCUAACGGCUCCAGCCCAAUCUGCUGUCUUGUUUAAGGAGCUCCGAUCAGCUCUUCAUUCUCUAUUGAAGGAACUUAUCCAAAAGCCAAAGAAUGCAACUAUUGUUGAUAAUGAGGUCAUCAGAUCUAUGAUCCAGCUACUGUUAGAUGAAGACAAACCCUUAAGAUAAGUUGCAAAGCAACAGAAUGUGCAAGCAUCUUUGUUGUUUAUUAUGGUUGGAUGAGGAACCUAUCACUACCGCAGCAGAACAUUUGUUAUAUUUGGAUUAGAGAGAGGAAUACGGCGGGCAUCUUGAAUACCCAUUUCAUACUAGUAAUGGAUUGCGUUGUCAUUUCCUGUUAUCAACAUUGUGAAGCAAGUCACCAUUGAGUUAAUGUUCAUUCCGCAACUCAUUCAAGGGUCGGCAACAUGUGACCGGAUUCUCUGCACAUUUUGUGCCUAUAUGUAAUUAAAUGACUUUCGAGCUGGGAGGUACCAAUUGAACAUGCAGUUCAGGAUUGAGGAAUCAUCAGCAAGCAAAUUGAGUUGUUAUCAACUUCAUUAUAACAUACUUGAUAUCAUAUCAAGAAAUGAUCAAAGCCUGGGCAGAAGGUUUGACAAGUUGUUCUUUUGCUGUAUGUAUUCUUGUUUGGAUCUAAUUAGUAAGUAUCUUGCCCAUGAACAUCAUGUUGGAAUUCUCCACAGAGCUUAAUAAAACAACUGA
RNAcentral lists this unclassified non-coding RNA (7025 nucleotides) under Hevea brasiliensis (rubber tree). The record is from RNAcentral. Lineage: Eukaryota; Viridiplantae; Streptophyta; Magnoliopsida; Malpighiales; Euphorbiaceae.